Molecule: ribosomal RNA, 440 nt
Filed under: uncultured bacterium
Lineage: Bacteria
Description: partial 16S ribosomal RNA
Rfam family: Bacterial small subunit ribosomal RNA
Source: RNAcentral
CCUACGGGAGGCUGCAGUAGGGAAUAUUGCUCAAUGGGGGAAACCCUGAAGCAGCAACGCCGCGUGGAGGAUGAAGGUUUUCGGAUUGUAAACUCCUUUUGUUAGAGAAGAGAAUGACGGUAUCUAACGAAUAAGCACCGGCUAACUCCGUGCCAGCAGCCGCGGUAAUACGGAGGGUGCAAGCGUUACUCGGAAUCACUGGGCGUAAAGAGCGCGUAGGCGGGAUAGCAAGUCAGAUGUGAAAUCCUAGGGCUUAACCAUAGAACUGCAUUUGAAACUGUUAUUCUAGAGUAUGGGAGAGGUAGGUGGAAUUCUUGGUGUAGGGGUCAAAUCCGUAGAGAUCACGAGGAAUACUCAUUGCGAAGGCGACCUGCUAGAACAUAACUGACGCUGAUGCGCGACAGCGUGGGGAGCAAACAGGAUUAGAUACCCCGGUAGUC